GGGUUGUAAAACUCUGUGAUCCGGGACGAAAAGGCAGAGUGCGAAGAACAAACUGCAUUGACGGUACCGGAAAAGCAAGCCACGGCUAACUACGUGCCAGCAGCCGCGGUAAUACGUAGGUGGCAAGCGUUGUCCGGAAUUAUUGGGCGUAAAGCGCGCGCAGGCGGCUUCCCAAGUCCCUCUUAAAAGUGCGGGGCUUAACCCCGUGAUGGGAAGGAAACUGGGAAGCUGGAGUAUCGGAGAGGAAAGUGGAAUUCCUAGUGUAGCGGUGAAAUGCGUAGAGAUUAGGAAGAACACCGGUGGCGAAGGCGACUUUCUGGACGAAAACUGACGCUGAGGCGCGAAAGCGUGGGGAGCAAACAGGAUUAGAUACCCUGGUAGUCCACGCCGUAAACGAUGGAUACUAGGUGUAGGAGGUAUCGACCCCUCCUGUGCCGGAGUUCACGCAAUAAGUAUCCCGCCUGGGAA
Molecule: ribosomal RNA, 468 nt
Filed under: uncultured bacterium
Lineage: Bacteria
Description: bacterial SSU rRNA
Rfam family: Bacterial small subunit ribosomal RNA
Source: RNAcentral